This 312-nucleotide ribosomal RNA is filed under the name Triticum aestivum (bread wheat). Its description in RNAcentral is "partial small subunit ribosomal RNA". Lineage: Eukaryota; Viridiplantae; Streptophyta; Magnoliopsida; Poales; Poaceae. The record is from RNAcentral.
AUGCUGGUCCACCUGACCCCACAUAAAAUCCUCCCCAUCCACUCGCCGGACCAAACUCUAGCCACUUCACUCCCCUCCACUCCACCAUCCAAAGCUCGUCUUUGGCUCCUUCCGGUCCUCUCCGGCAUGGCGGGCAGCGGAUCCGAGUCCUUCAUCUCUAGAUCCGUCGACCCUGAGCUCAUCCCGCGCGGCCCUGAGGAGGAGAUGGCCGUCUGGCUUGCGCUCCGCCACGCCCGGGAGGAGGCCCGUGGACGGCUGCGCUCGGACUUCAUUCGUCAGGAAUCCAUUGCUUCUGCCCAAAUGGGGCAUUGA